GGGUGGGGGUUAAAUUGAUAAUAGUUGCUUGUUUGAAUGAAUGGAUUUAGACAUCUUUGAACAGCUCUUCUUAUGAGUUAUACAAUUUUUCCAAGUUUGGUGGUAGAAGGUUCAUUAUAAGAGAGUAAAAAUAAAAAAAGAUAAAGAGAAUUAGGAAGAGAGAGAAGAAUGGAGUUAGGACACAAAAGAAUUAAGAAAG
This 199-nucleotide long non-coding RNA is filed under the name Physcomitrium patens. RNAcentral's name for it is "long non-coding RNA (PPAT_LNC006712)". Lineage: Eukaryota; Viridiplantae; Streptophyta; Bryopsida; Funariales; Funariaceae. The record is from RNAcentral.